Molecule: transfer RNA, 72 nt
Filed under: Clostridioides difficile
Lineage: Bacteria; Bacillati; Bacillota; Clostridia; Peptostreptococcales; Peptostreptococcaceae
Description: tRNA-Gly
Rfam family: tRNA
About the family: Transfer RNA (tRNA) molecules are approximately 80 nucleotides in length. Their secondary structure includes four short double-helical elements and three loops (D, anti-codon, and T loops).
Source: RNAcentral
GCGGGUGUAGCUCAAUGGUAGAGUUCUGGCCUUCCAAGCCAGCUGUGAGGGUUCGAUCCCCUUCACCCGCUC